GCGUCUUCGUUAGAUCACCGAAGUCAAGCAUCAUUGGGCGCGGUCAGUACUUGGGUGGGUGACCACCUGAGAACACCGCGUGCCGUUA
Non-coding RNA from Caerostris extrusa, 88 nucleotides. The record is from the annotation of a GenBank genome assembly. Lineage: Eukaryota; Metazoa; Arthropoda; Arachnida; Araneae; Araneidae.